GAGGUGUUAACUUAAAUUUAAAGUGCUAGACUUUUAAUCUAGAAAUGUUUUUUUCACAUCUUA
Molecule: transfer RNA, 63 nt
Filed under: Pseudoterranova azarasi
Lineage: Eukaryota; Metazoa; Nematoda; Chromadorea; Rhabditida; Anisakidae
Description: tRNA-Lys
Rfam family: tRNA
About the family: Transfer RNA (tRNA) molecules are approximately 80 nucleotides in length. Their secondary structure includes four short double-helical elements and three loops (D, anti-codon, and T loops).
Source: RNAcentral